UUUUUUUUUAUGUAAUGCUUACGUGUCUCUCUUAUCUGAACAGUUCCAGUCGUGAUUCUGAAGUACACAAGUGGAAAGUGCUUUAAAUUUUCGUAAUCUUUGACAUUCGAUAAGUGCGUUAUCAACCCAAAGUAAGUGCCUCAGUUCUGAAGAUAUUAGAAUGGAAAUCGCAAUGGUGGUUGAGUAUAGGAGAAAUGUCAUCUUAAAUUUUGAAAUAUUUAUUAGCCAUUUACAUUUGGUGUCAAUUUACUCUACACUAUAAAAAUGUUUGAUUUAAUAAAGUUUCAUCAUUGAACAUGAAAAUCGUCA
This is a long non-coding RNA of Hermetia illucens (black soldier fly), 309 nucleotides long. RefSeq lists it as uncharacterized. Lineage: Eukaryota; Metazoa; Arthropoda; Insecta; Diptera; Stratiomyidae. The transcript has 2 exons. The record is from RefSeq and is a predicted model, not a curated record.